Molecule: ribosomal RNA, 252 nt
Filed under: uncultured prokaryote
Description: partial 16S ribosomal RNA
Rfam family: Bacterial small subunit ribosomal RNA
Source: RNAcentral
UACGGAGGAUGCAAGCGUUAUCCGGAUUCAAUUGGGUUUAAAGGGUGCGUAGGCGGGCUAUUAAGUCAGUGGUGAAAUCCUGCAGCUUAACUGCAGAACUGCCGUUGAUACUGAUAGUCUUGAGUUUGGUUAAGGUAGGCGGAAUGUGUAAUGUAGCGGUGAAAUGCUUAGAUAUUACACAGAACACCGAUUGCGAAGGCAGCUUGCUGGGCCAAUACUGACGCUGAUGCACGAAAGCGUGGGGAUCAAACA